Molecule: long non-coding RNA, 602 nt
Organism: Rhinopithecus roxellana (golden snub-nosed monkey)
Lineage: Eukaryota; Metazoa; Chordata; Mammalia; Primates; Cercopithecidae
Exons: 3
Source: RefSeq, a predicted model, not a curated record
AGAACAACUUGAAUUUCUGUUUACACAGCCGGAGGCCUGGAAAGGAUACUGAAGUGAGAAGAGGAAGCUGCUUGCGGAAGAAGCAAGAUCAGUUGCUUCCCAGGGCAUAGGCACUAACUGUGACAACCUGGGCCUCCGUGUAGGGCCACAGCAACUGAUAGCUCUGAAGAAUGUGCAGGAGGUAUACGUCUCCUCCCUAUGAGGGUGCGCCCUGAUGAUAAAUGCCACGUACUCUGUUCCCAGGAAUCACAGUGGAUCAUGCACAUCACCAUAUUUUACGCAUGAGGAAACUGAGAGCUCAGGGAGAGACAAGGGAAACUGCAACCCAAGUCUAUGGUUGUUUGGAUCAUGGAUAUGUCUCCGGAUUAAAUAAAACUUCCAAAUGAUCGAUGCCCUAUCUGCUUUAUUAUUUCUGGGAUCCUGAGUACUUUUAUGCUUGGAAAUACAUCCUGCUGUCAAGCAGGCCACACCCCAAUCUAAACCAGCGGCCAGCAAACUGAGGAGGAAUGCUCCUGUAGAAUCAACAGUCUGAAAACCCUCACCUGAGACUGAGACUAAACAUGUGUUUGGCAAGAACAUCACCAAGAGAUGUAAAUGCUGGA